UACGGAGGGGGCGAGCGUUAUUCGGAAUUAUUGGGCGUAAAGGGCGCGUAGGCGGCCCGGUAAGUCAAAGGUGAAAUCCCUCGGCUCAACUGAGGAACUGCCUUCGAAACUGUCGGGCUUGAGGCCGGGAGGGGGUAGCGGAAUUCCCAGUGUAGCGGUGAAAUGCGUAGAUAUUAGGAGGAACACCAGUGGCGAAGGCGGCUACCUGGACCGGUUCUGACGCUGAUGCGCGAAAGCGUGGGUAGCAAACAGG
This 253-nucleotide ribosomal RNA is filed under the name uncultured bacterium. Its description in RNAcentral is "partial 16S ribosomal RNA". It matches the Rfam family "Bacterial small subunit ribosomal RNA", at positions 524 to 776 of the family's 1533-position model. The record is from RNAcentral.